RNAcentral lists this long non-coding RNA (461 nucleotides) under Homo sapiens (human). RNAcentral describes it as "HSALNT0071464". The record is from RNAcentral. Lineage: Eukaryota; Metazoa; Chordata; Mammalia; Primates; Hominidae.
AGCAGCACCCUUUAUUGGAACUAAUAGUGUGUGAUAAACUGGUUACCGGCUCUACCCGAAGUCCCGUGUUGCUGUUUAAAGGCAGACUUCACCAAAGUGGCUGUUUAUAUGUGCCAGGAUUUUAGCCGAGAUGGUUUGCUAGCUGUAGAGAGUCGGUAGGAUGUUUUCAGUUGCCCCAGUUGGCAAAACCGAGGCUGUGGCCUUAAUAGAAUGUGUUACUUUUGCAUCGAGAGAGUCGGAUGAGCUUCACACACGUAAUAGCUACAUUUGCAGAAGAGACCUUCCAGUUUGUGUGUGUUAUUGUCAGAAACAGCAGCUGUACAUAUUAUAACUUGGAAAGCGUAAGACCUUCCAGGUGUUGGAGUGUUGGGACGCUUAGGAGGCAUUCUUGCUGCCCAGCGCUGUGGAGGUUGCAGGAGGCUUUGCAUUCCCUUCCACUUAGGGUGGCUGGCCGCGCAGAU